UGGCUCUCGCAUCGAUGAAGAACGCAGCGAAAUGCGAUAAGUAAUGUGAAUUGCAGAAUUCAGUGAAUCAUCGAAUCUUUGAACGCACCUUGCGCUCCUUGGUAUUCCGAGGAGCAUGCCUGUUUGAGUGUCAUGUUUUCCUCAGCCCCUCUUGGAUUUUUUCUGGGAUGGAGCUGGAUGUGGGGGUUGCAGGCUUUUCUUUGUAAAGUCUGCUCCUCUUAAAUGAAUUAGUGUGAAUGUUACUAAAUGUUUCCCCAGUGUAAUAAUUAUUUGCGCUGUUGGAUCCUCUGUAUAUGUUCAUGCUUACAGCUUGUCCUUUCAAUAGGAUAAUAUACUUUUGUGUUUGACCUCAAAUCAGGUAGGACUACCCGCUGA
RNAcentral lists this unclassified non-coding RNA (375 nucleotides) under uncultured fungus. Its description in RNAcentral is "partial contains 5.8S ribosomal RNA and internal transcribed spacer 2". The stretch from base 1 to 133 matches the Rfam family "5.8S ribosomal RNA", at positions 22 to 154 of the family's 154-position model. Lineage: Eukaryota; Fungi. The record is from RNAcentral.